This 567-nucleotide long non-coding RNA is filed under the name Carica papaya (papaya). RNAcentral describes it as "long non-coding RNA (CPAP_LNC000682)". Lineage: Eukaryota; Viridiplantae; Streptophyta; Magnoliopsida; Brassicales; Caricaceae. The record is from RNAcentral.
UCUAAGUAUUUCAUGAUUUAUUUGAUUUUCUCUAUUAUCUGACAUGAUGUAUGAUUUUCUGUGUUAAUGUAUCAUUUUCUUAACAAAUAAAUGAUUUUUCAUAAUGUGAGAUAGGUAAAUGAGGAAGUUAAUGGUAAGAUAAAAUAAUUAACUUUUGAAAUCUUACAAUGUUAAUUUAAUACUAUUUUCCUUACAGAGCAUAUAGAACUCACUAUUUCCAUACCCCCCAGAUGAGGAAGAAAGUGAGGAAUCGCAGGCUGACUUACCCUUGGAAGUCUAUGAGGAUCCCGAGGAUCCACAAGUCUGAGUGCAUGACUGUUCCCGCACUCUGAUAGUAUAGUGAAAAAAGUGGCCCUUAUGUUUUGUUUUAUAUUUUGCAACCACUUCUGGCAUGUAUGUAUUAGAACUCACAUAUAUUUGUAAGGAAUUUGUAAUGAUUUUGUUCUGCUGUAUAAAUUUUAUCACGCACUCAUUAUUCUGAAUCUGUAUUUGACACCCAUUUGCCUUAAUUAACACUUGGAAUGUCACAAUUUUACUAAUUUUCCUAAAUAAAAUAAAGAAUUUGAU